Molecule: ribosomal RNA, 918 nt
Filed under: Triticum aestivum (bread wheat)
Lineage: Eukaryota; Viridiplantae; Streptophyta; Magnoliopsida; Poales; Poaceae
Description: partial small subunit ribosomal RNA
Source: RNAcentral
AUGACGACAAGCGACCUCCUCUUCUACGGCGCGAGCAGCGGCACGGACUUGGCCGGGCCGUUUCUUCAACAGCCCAUGGCGCCACCGCACCGGUCGCACGAGGAGUUCAACUUCGACUACCUCAGCGAAGUGUGCAAUCCUUAUAGGAGCUGCGUCGGCGUCGUCCCUCGGCAUGGGGUCGCCCACGGGGCCGGCCAGGCGCUGGUUCAGUAUCCUCUCCACGACGCCAUGGCGGAGGACGACCCCAGCGGCAGCAACCUGCAUCGCGGUGGUGGGUCGUCGUCGUCACCGGUGCCGUUCGUGUUCGGAGCAGGAGGCGCCGGGGAGAGCCCGGAGAUGAUAAGGGGCGUCUUCACCGGCGCCCACGCUCGAAGCAAGCUCAACGGCGGCACUACCUCCAAGAACCUUAUGGCGGAAAGGCGGCGCCGGAAGCGUCUCAACGACCGGCUCUCCAUGCUUCGCUCCAUCGUGCCCAAGAUCAGCAAGAUGGAUAGGACCUCGAUCCUCGGGGACACCAUAGACUACGUGAAUGAACUAACCGAGCGGAUCAAAACCCUCGAGGAGGAGAUCGGCGCCACGCCGGAGGAGCUGAACCUGCUGAACACCACGAAGAAUUUCUUCAGCGGUAGCAGCGAGGAGAUGCCGAUGAGGAAUUCCACCAAGUUUGUCAUCGAGAAACAGGGCGACGGCACGAGGAUCGACAUCUGCUGCGCCACUAGCCCCGGCGUGCUGAUCUCGACGGUGAGCGCGCUGGAGGUGCUGGGGCUGGAGAUCGAGCAGUGCGUCUUCAGCUGCUUCGGCGACUUCGCCAUGCAAGCAUCAUGCUCACAAGAGGAAGGCAGGAGCCGAGUGACAAGCACCGACGAGAUCAAGCAGGCAUUGUUCACGAGUGCCGGCUAUGGAGGAAGGUGUCUGUAG